This 1606-nucleotide ribosomal RNA is filed under the name human gut metagenome. RNAcentral describes it as "bacterial LSU rRNA". It matches the Rfam family "Bacterial large subunit ribosomal RNA", at positions 826 to 2518 of the family's 2925-position model. The record is from RNAcentral.
AUUCCAAUCGAACUCGGAGAUAGCUGGUUCUCCCCGAAAUAGCUUUAGGGCUAGCCUCAUGUUAGAUAUCCGGAGGUAAAGCACUGAAUGGCCUAGCGUCCGAGAGGAUAGCGAAGCCUAUCAAACUAAGAAUGCCGGAAUAUUGAUGCAUGGGAGUCAGACAGUGUGAGAUAAAUCUCAUUGUCAAAAGGGAAACAGCCCAGAUCUACAGCUAAGGUCCCAAAUUGUAUCUAAGUGGAAAACGAUGUGGAAAUACGCAGACAACCAGGAUGUUGGCUCAGAAGCAGCCACUCAUUUAAAGAGUGCGUAAUAGCUCACUGGUCGAGCGUCUCUGCGCGGAAAAUUUAACGGGGCUAAGAUACAAACCGAAGCUUAGGCUGCACUUUUAGUGCGGGGUAGGGGAGCGUUGUGUAAGCGGAGAAACAGUAGCGGAAGCGGCUGUGGAGUUUACAGAAGUGAGAAUGCCGGAAUGAGUAGCGCGAAUGAUGUGAGAAUCAUCAUGGCCGGAAACCUCAGGUUUUUGGAGGAAGGUUCGUCCGCUCCAAGUUAGGCGGGAGCUAAGGUGAGGCCGAAAGGCGUAGCCGAUGCACAGACGGUAGAGAUUCCGUCCCCACCGAAAGAUUUAAGCGCAGGGACACUUUUAGAAGGUCGGAGCCAGGUGUUGGUUCUGGUAGAGAUCGAGGGAAAUUUAGUACCGAAGUCCGGCUGGAUAAGAGGCGAGAAAAGCUGCGUGUAUAUCUAAGGUGCCCGUACCGCAAACCGACACAGGUAGGUAGGAAGAAGAUUCUAAGGCCAACGGGAGAAGGGUUGUUAAGGAACUCGGCAAAUUGACCCCGUAACUUCGGGAGAAGGGGUGCUGCAGCAAUGCAGCCGCAGAGAAUCGGCCCAAGCAACUGUUUACCAAAAACACAGGUUUGUGCUAAAUCGAAAGAUGACGUAUACGAGCUGACGCCUGCCCGGUGCUGGAAGGUUAAGAGGAGAUGUGCAAGCAUUGAAUCGAAGCCCCAGUGAACGGCGGCCGUAACUAUAACGGUCCUAAGGUAGCGAAAUUCCUUGUCAGGUAAGUUCUGACCCGCAUGAAAGGCGUAAUGAUUUGGGCACUGUCUCAACAGCCCGCCCGGCGAAAUUGUAGUACCGGUGAAGAUGCCGGUUACCCGCGACAAGACGGAAAGACCCCAUGGAGCUUUACUGUAGCCUAAUAUUGGGUUUCGAUGUUGCAUGCACAGGAUAGAUGGGACACUAGGAAGCAGGUGCUUUGGCGCUUGUGGAGUGGCCGUUGGGAUACCAUCCUUGCGAUAUUGGAAUUCUAACCUGCGCCUUUGAAUCAAGGCGGGGGACAUUGUUAGGUGGGCAGUUUGACUGGGGCGGUCGCCUCCUAAAGAGUAACGGAGGCGUUCAAAGGUUCGCUCAGCUUGAACGGAAAUCAAGCAAAAGAGUGCAAACGCAGAAGCGAGCCUAACUGCGAGACUGACGGGUCGAGCAGUAACGAAAGUUGGAGUUAGUGAUCCGGUGGUAUGUGAGUGGAAAUGCCAUCGCUCAACGGAUAAAAGUUACCCUGGGGAUAACAGGCUGAUCUCCCCCAAGAGUCCACAUCGACGGGGAGGUU